GCUGGGUGUGGUGGUGCACACCUGUAAUCCCAGCUACUUGGGAGGCUCAGGCAGGAGAAUUACUUGAACCCAGGAGGCGAAGGUUGCAGUGACCCAAGAUCAUGCCACUGCAGUCCAGCCUGGGUGACAGAGUGAGACUCUGUCUCAA
This 148-nucleotide non-coding RNA is filed under the name Homo sapiens (human). The record is from Rfam by way of RNAcentral. Lineage: Eukaryota; Metazoa; Chordata; Mammalia; Primates; Hominidae.